Molecule: ribosomal RNA, 866 nt
Filed under: uncultured bacterium
Lineage: Bacteria
Description: bacterial SSU rRNA
Rfam family: Bacterial small subunit ribosomal RNA
Source: RNAcentral
GGGGNUUAACUCCGGGCGUGCAGGCGAUACGGGCACGACUAGAGUGCUGUAGGGGUAACUGGAAUUCCUGGUGUAGCGGUGAAAUGCGCAGAUAUCAGGAGGAACACCGAUGGCGAAGGCAGGUUACUGGGCAGUUACUGACGCUGAGGAGCGAAAGCAUGGGGAGCGAACAGGAUUAGAUACCCUGGUAGUCCAUGCUGUAAACGGUGGGCGCUAGGUGUGGGCUGUGUGUUUGCAGUCUGUGCCGUAGCAACGCAUUAAGCGCCCCGCCUGGGGAGUACGGCCGCAGGGCUAAAACUCAAAGGAAUUGACGGGGGCCCGCACAAGCGGCGGAGCAUGUGGAUUAAUUCGAUGCAACGCGAAGAACCUUACCUGGGUUUGACAUGCACCAGAUCGGCGUAGAGAUACGUCCUCCCUUGUGGUUGGUGCACAGGUGGUGCAUGGUUGUCGUCAGCUCGUGUCGUGAGAUGUUGGGUUAAGUCCCGCAACGAGCGCAACCCUUGUCUUAUGUUGCCAGCGCAUUUUUGGUGGGGACUCAUGAGAAACUGCCGGGGUCAACUCGGAGGAAGGUGGGGAUGACGUCAAAUCAUCAUGCCCUUUAUACCCAGGGCUUCACACAUGCUACAAUGGUCGGUACAACGGGUUGCGACACUGUGAAGUGAAGCUAAUCUCUUAAAGCCGGCCUCAGUUCGGAUUGGGGUCUGCAACUCGACCCCAUGAAGUCGGAGUCGCUAGUAAUCGCAGAUCAGCAAUGCUGCGGUGAAUACGUUCCCGGGCCUUGUACACACCGCCCGUCACGUCAUGAAAGUUGGUAACACCCGAAGCCCAUGGCCUAACCACCGCUUUUGUGGUGGGGGGAGUGGUCG